AAGUCGUAACAAGGUUUCCGUAGGUGAACCUGCGGAAGGAUCAUUAAAGAUUCUGGCCUUCGGGCCAACUUUUUCAGCUGUGCGCCUCGGCUGCACGCUGAUAAACCUCACACACCUGUGCACAUUUCGGUCGCAUCCUGCUUGCAGGCUUGCUUCCGCUUUAACAUACAACCACACGUCUCGAAUGUAACAAACUAUAAAGUAACAACUUUCAACAACGGAUCUCUUGGCUCUC
This 235-nucleotide unclassified non-coding RNA is filed under the name air metagenome. RNAcentral describes it as "partial contains small subunit ribosomal RNA, internal transcribed spacer 1, and 5.8S ribosomal RNA". The stretch from base 1 to 46 matches the Rfam family "Eukaryotic small subunit ribosomal RNA", at positions 1786 to 1831 of the family's 1831-position model. The record is from RNAcentral.